GGGGGGGGUAAGCGUUGUUCGGAAUUACUGGGCGUAAAGGGCUCGUAGGCGGCCAACUAAGUCGGACGUGAAAUCCCUCAGCUUAACUGGGGAACUGCGUCCGAUACUGGAUGGCUUGGAUCCGGAAGAGGGAUGCGGAAUUCCAGGUGUAGCGGUGAAAUGCGUAGAUAUCUGGAGGAACACCGGUGGCGAAGGCGGCAUCCUGGGCCGGUAUUGACGCUGAGGAGCGAAAGCCAGGGGAGCAAACGGGAUUAGAUACCCCGGUAGUCCUGGCCCUAAACGAUGAAUGCUUGGUGUAGCGGGUAUCGAUCCCUGCUGUGCCGAAGCUAACGCAUUAAGCAUUCCGCCUGGGGAGUACGGUCGCAAGGCUGAA
RNAcentral lists this ribosomal RNA (373 nucleotides) under uncultured bacterium. RNAcentral's name for it is "bacterial SSU rRNA". It matches the Rfam family "Bacterial small subunit ribosomal RNA", at positions 527 to 898 of the family's 1533-position model. The record is from RNAcentral.